UACGUAGUGGGCAAGCGUUGUCCGGAUUCAUUGGGCGUAAAGAGCUCGUAGGCGGCUUGGCAAGUCGGGUGUGAAAACUCCAGGCUCAACCUGGAGACGCCACCCGAUACUGCCAUGGCUUGAGUCCGGUAGGGGACCACGGAAUUCCUGGUGUAGCGGUGAAAUGCGCAGAUAUCAGGAGGAACACCGGUGGCGAAGGCGGUGGUCUGGGCCGGUACUGACGCUGAGGAGCGAAAGCGUGGGGAGCAAACAGG
This 254-nucleotide ribosomal RNA is filed under the name uncultured bacterium. RNAcentral describes it as "partial 16S ribosomal RNA". It matches the Rfam family "Bacterial small subunit ribosomal RNA", at positions 524 to 776 of the family's 1533-position model. The record is from RNAcentral.